UACGAAGGGGGCUAGCGUUGCUCGGAAUCACUGGGCGUAAAGGGUGCGUAGGCGGGUUUUUAAGUCAGAGGUGAAAUCCUGGAGCUCAACUCCAGAACUGCCUUUGAUACUGAAAGUCUUGAGUAUGGGAGAGGUGAGUGGAACUGCGAGUGUAGAGGUGAAAUUCGUAGAUAUUCGCAAGAACACCAGUGGCGAAGGCGGCUCACUGGCCCAUUACUGACGCUGAGGCACGAAAGCGUGGCGAGCAAACAGG
Molecule: ribosomal RNA, 253 nt
Filed under: uncultured bacterium
Lineage: Bacteria
Description: partial 16S ribosomal RNA
Rfam family: Bacterial small subunit ribosomal RNA
Source: RNAcentral